Long non-coding RNA from Onychostoma macrolepis, 1337 nucleotides. RefSeq lists it as uncharacterized. The transcript has 3 exons. The record is from RefSeq and is a predicted model, not a curated record. NCBI's taxonomy places the organism in Eukaryota, Metazoa, Chordata, Actinopteri, Cypriniformes, Cyprinidae.
UCAAUACUUCAUGUAUCUUAAGUACCUAUUUGCCCAAAGCAUAUUGUUUGGAGCAGAAGGCAAAUAGUUCACCAGCCAUUGCAUCAGUUGGUUUAGGUUUUGUCAAUGUACAGUAGCUGUCAGUGUUUCCUGCUGCUCCACUGAUCACUGUAACAAUGUCAGUCUGCCUGAGGCCAACAAUGCCCCAAAUGGAUUAAAAUGUGUCUCAUGCAACAGCAGGACAGAUAAACAGUGUAAUACUAAAGCGUCCUGUGUGGGAGUCCAGGACCUCUGCCUUGAUGAUACAGGUAAUGGAGGAUUCCUCAUUCAGACACCUUUUCCUUCCCUUCAACGUGCUAGACUCAAGGGUUGUGUCUCAAGAAAUCUUUGUGGACCUUCAUCCAUCACCAAGUUCAACUGCAUUAGCAAUUUAGGUUACCCGGCCAUUGAUAUUAGAGAAUUCAGACUUCUUCUGAUGGUCUUUAUUAUUGUUUUUUCCUCCCUGUAAUUUCAAUUAUUAUUCAUGUAUUCUUGAAUGCUUUGAAAAUGCAUACAAUCUGUAUACUUAAAUCUUAUUAUGUAUAAUUAAUUUAGCAUAAAAAUGAGUGCAUUAUUCAAGUAUCUUUUUCUCCUUUUGUAACCAUUGAUGAAAAACAAGUUUCAGUCAAUCAAUCAAUCAAUCAAUCAACAUUUAUUUAUAUAACACAUUUAAAACAACACCAGUUGACCAAAGUGCUUUACCUGUCUAAAAAUUACUCAAACAGACACAAUACACAACAAUAAACAUUAAAGUUUAAAGACAUUGCAAAAAUGUUUUGGCUAUCAAUGUAAGCUGUCAUGCAUGAUUUAACAGUUGAUAAAUAUGUCCUGAGUAUACUGUACAAAAAAAUACUACUUGGUAUUCCAUGUGGAGUUUAGUGUAAAAACAGACACUUUUUAUAUUUCUGAGGUACUCAUAAGAAAAUUGUUUCAUAGUUGGGUAUGUGGUGAGCAGAAACUACUACUUUUUUGCAUUCCCAUUUGUCCCAAUAACAAAAGCAAAACAAUCCACAGUAGCAUUUACAUGAAUAAAUACUGAGAGAUUGACAGAAAAGAGAAAGCUGUCAAAUUUGCAGUGACUCCCUCAGCCGUUGUAUUAGAAACACUCACACAGCAUUGUUAACCAGUUUUCAAUAUAUACAGUGCUGCCUGAAAGUUUGUGAACCCUUUAGAAUUUUCUAUAUUUCUGCAUAAAUAUGACCCAAAACAUCAUCAGAUUUUCAUAUGUCCUGAAAGUAGACAAAGAGAACCGAAUCAAACAAGUGAGAGAAGAAAUAUUUUCUUUGUCAUUUAUUUAUUGAGAAAAAUUAUCCAGUGUU